CAUGCUUUGGAAUGAGAAGAAAGCAGCAGUCAUGUAAGGUCUUGGGGCAGCUAGGGCCUGCAGCCUCCACUAUGGGCGGGGGCUGAGGAGGUUGGUAGGGGCUAGCUGAUACAGGCUACUAAGUUUAGGACAGGAGGAGAAACGUUGAUAAUAAUUGAUGAGGGCAUGCUUUUCUAGGCAAGAGAUUCUGCACCCAGUAAUUGUGUCUAUCCAGCAAGUUCUAAAAUAAUAAAGCUGUCUGUCUGUCCUUUAUCUGUAUUCUAGGGCCUCUGGAGUAGGCUGGUGUAGUGGUCAACUCCUGGAGCAUAAAGUGGAUAAAGAGAGAGGCCAGGUUGGGGCUGGUGGCAGCUGAUGGAGCUAAGGUUGCAGAGCCAAGCUGUUGGGAGGAGCUGAUAGCUCCUGGUCUAAGGUGGUAGCUUGCUUUUAAAACUACAUGCAAAAGGAUGUUUUGCUAAAGUAGACACAUGAAAGAAUGAUUUCCUCAAACAGUCACAGGUGAAAGGAUGUUUUGCUAUAGCAAACAUGUAAAAGGACUUGUGAUGAAGGAAUUUAAAUAUGACCCCACAGACACUGGGAGCUUUGGUUUGCUCUGCUUCACUAACCUUUGCUAAUGACACGCAUGUAUUGGUUCAUCUUACAUAGUGUUGUUGUGCUAAACUUGUGCUAAAGAUAUUGAGAGAAACUCGCCCGCUCACAAGGUUCCUGCGGUAGCUUGUCACUCAGGCUGGUUGGUGAGCCUGGCAGUUUCUUCAGGGUUGAACUGCCCUUGCUGGUUCAUGUGUGGUGAGUGGACUGGACUACAGCAGCUGAUUGUUAUUUGGUGUUUGCUAUGGGACUGAACUGCUGAGAUCCUGGCAAUGAAGAUUGGACUCGCCCCAAAGAAUUAUUGCUAACCAGGUUUAUUUCCUCCAUGUCCUAAUAACUUGUCUCUUUCACUACCUCUGGUGGGUGGUAGGCUAGGAGAGACUAAGUGCUUAUUAAAAUAGGUUGAAAAAAUUUAUGCCUACAUAUGGUACCAAAGGCAGCACCCAGGCCCUGAUACGUAUUAGGCAAGAGCUCUAUCACUGAGUUACAUCCUUACCCAGCCUUUGUUUUUUGAGACAGGACCUCACUAUGAAUCUUCAAAUUUCUGGUCCUCCUGCCUCUGUCUCCUGAAUGUCAUGAUUAUAAGUAUGCACAGCUAUGCCAUUAAAACCAUAGUUUAUUAAGGUUAUAUAAUUAAAUCACUGAUUUAAUAGGACAGCCUAAAAAUCUUUUUAAAAGAUUUUUAAAUUAUUAUUUAUAUGGUGUGUGUCCGUGGGUAUGUACAAGUGAGUAUAGGUGCCCUUAGACUCUAAGGCUUAAAGGCUAGAAGCACCAGGUCCCCUGGAGCUUGAUUAACAGAUAGUUGUGAGCUGCCUGACAUAGAUAGGUGUUGGGAACAGAACUUGAAUCCUCUGGAAGAGCAGCAAAUGGUCUUAACUGCUGGCUCUCUGGCUCCUUUUGAAGAUACUUUGUUUUUGAGACAGGGUCUCACUGGGUAGCCUUGGCUGGCCUGGAACUUGCAAUGUAGACCACCAGACUGGCCUCAAACUCAGAGAUCUACCUGCUUCUGCAAGUGCUGGGAUUAAAGGCAUUCAUCCUUUACCAUGCCUGAUCCUUUAGCAGAUACUUUAAAAGAAAAUUUCUAGCCAGAUUUGGUGACACACACCUGUAAUCCUGAGACUCAGUAGCAAGAUUUGGAUAUGAGGUAACCAAGGAAAUGGAAGCUAUUAUCUUGACACUGUGUCUAUGGUGAAAAUGUUGUUUUGUGGGUGAACAUUCUGAAACUGCGGUUAGGUUAUUCCCACUGUAUUAAAACUAAGGAGAGGGAGGACUUUCCCAAUUUGCCACAUAUGUGAACUAAUAAAAAGGUCUAUAAGGACCCAGGCUUC
Molecule: long non-coding RNA, 1913 nt
Filed under: Mus musculus (house mouse)
Lineage: Eukaryota; Metazoa; Chordata; Mammalia; Rodentia; Muridae
Description: long non-coding RNA chr6:48073645-48075558
Source: RNAcentral